GAUGAACGCUGGCGGCGUGCCUAAUACAUGCAAGUCGAGCGAACGGACGAGAAGCUUGCUUCUCUGAUGUUAGCGGCGGACGGGUGAGUAACACGUGGAUAACCUACCUAUAAGACCGGGAUAACUUCGGGAAACCGGAGCUAAUACCGGAUAAUAUUUUGAACCGCAUGGUUCAAAAGUGAAAGACGGUCUUGCUGUCACUUAUAGAUGGAUCCGCGCUGCAUUAGCUAGUUGGUAAGGUAACGGCUUACCAAGGCAACGAUGCAUAGCCGACCUGAGAGGGUGAUCGGCCACACUGGAACUGAGACACGGUCCAGACUCCUACGGGAGGCAGCAGUAGGGAAUCUUCCGCAAUGGGCGAAAGCCUGACGGAGCAACGCCGCGUGAGUGAUGAAGGUCUUCGGAUCGUAAAACUCUGUUAUUAGGGAAGAACAUAUGUGUAAGUAACUGUGCACAUCUUGACGGUACCUAAUCAGAAAGCCACGGCUAACUACGUGCCAGCGGCCGCGGUAAUACGUAGGUGGCAAGCGUUAUCCGGAAUUAUUGGGCGUAAAGCGCGCGUAGGCGGUUUUUUAAGUCUGAUGUGAAAGCCCACGGCUCAGCCGUGGAGGGUCAUUGGAAACUGGAAAACUUGAGUGCAGAAGAGGAAAGUGGAAUUCCAUGUGUAGCGGUGAAAUGCGCAGAGAUAUGGAGGAACACCAGUGGCGAAGGCGACUUUCUGGUCUGUAACUGACGCUGAUGUGCGAAAGCGUGGGGAUCAAACAGGAUUAGAUACCCUGGUAGUCCACGCCGUAAACGAUGAGUGCUAAGUGUUAGGGGGUUUCCGCCCCUUAGUGCUGCAGCUAACGCAUUAAGCACUCCGCCUGGGGAGUACGACCGCAAGGUUGAAACUCAAAGGAAUUGACGGGGACCCGCACAAGCGGUGGUGCAUGUGGUUUAAUUCGAAGCAACGCGAAGAACCUUACCAAAUCUUGACAUCCUUUGACAACUCUAGAGAUAGAGCCUUCCCCUUCGGGGGACAAAGUGACAGGUGGUGCAUGGUUGUCGUCAGCUCGUGUCGUGAGAUGUUGGGUUAAGUCCCGCAACGAGCGCAACCCUUAAGCUUAGUUGCCAUCAUUAAGUUGGGCACUCUAAGUUGACUGCCGGUGACAAACCGGAGGAGGGUGGGGAUGACGUCAAAUCAUCAUGCCCCUUAUGAUUUGGGCUACACACGUGCUACAAUGGACAAUACAAAGGGCAGCGAAACCGCGAGGUCAAGCAAAUCCCAUAAAGUUGUUCUCAGUUCGGAUUGUAGUCUGCAACUCGACUACAUGAAGCUGGAAUCGCUAGUAAUCGUAGAUCAGCAUGCUACGGUGAAUACGUUCCCGGGUCU
RNAcentral lists this ribosomal RNA (1372 nucleotides) under uncultured bacterium. Its description in RNAcentral is "bacterial SSU rRNA". It matches the Rfam family "Bacterial small subunit ribosomal RNA", at positions 28 to 1381 of the family's 1533-position model. The record is from RNAcentral.